Molecule: ribosomal RNA, 468 nt
Filed under: uncultured bacterium
Lineage: Bacteria
Description: partial 16S ribosomal RNA
Rfam family: Bacterial small subunit ribosomal RNA
Source: RNAcentral
GACGAACGCUGGCGGCAUGCCUAACACAUGCAAGUCGAACGGCAACGCACUGCUUUCUUGCUCUGCUCGAGUGGCGAACGGGUACGUAACACGUAAGCAACCUGAUCUUCAUUUUGGGAUAAGUUCACGAAACUGAGCUUAAUCCAGGAUAGGAUCCCCCGUUGGAUGGUGGGGGUUGGAUAGUCUAGGCGGUUGGGGAUGGACUCGCGGAUUAUCAGCUUGUUGGUGGGGUAGUGGCUUACCCAGGCUUUGAAGGGCAGCCGGCCUGAGUGGGUGACCGGCCACAUUGGGACUGAGGUACGGCCCAGACGGCUACGGGAGGAAGCAGUGGGGAAUAUUGCACAAUGGGCGGAAGGCUGAUGCAGCAGCGCCGCGUGCUGGAUGACGGCCUUCGGGUUGUAAACCGCUUUCGCCUGUAACGAAGGGUGAGUGACGGUAAUGGGUAAAGAAGCAACGGCUAACUACGUG